Molecule: ribosomal RNA, 449 nt
Filed under: uncultured bacterium
Lineage: Bacteria
Description: bacterial SSU rRNA
Rfam family: Bacterial small subunit ribosomal RNA
Source: RNAcentral
GUGGGGAAUAUUGGACAAUGGGGGAAACCCUGAUCCAGCAAUACCGCGUGUGUGAAGAAGGCCUUAGGGUUGUAAAGCACUUUCAAUAGGGAGGAAAAAGAGAUGGCUAAUACCCAUUUUAUUGACAUUACCUAUAGAAGAAGCACCGGCUAACUCCGUGCCAGCAGCCGCGGUAAUACGGAGGGUGCAAGCGUUAAUCGGAAUUACUGGGCGUAAAGCGUGCGUAGGCGGCUUAAUAAGUCAGAUGUGAAAGCCCUGGGCUUAACCUAGGAACUGCAUUUGAGACUGUUAAGCUAGAGUUGAGUAGAGGUAAGUGGAAUUUCAGGUGUAGCGGUGAAAUGCGUAGAUAUCUGAAGGAACACCAGUGGCGAAGGCGACUUACUGGACUCAAACUGACGCUGAGGUACGAAAGCGUGGGUAGCAAACAGGAUUAGAAACCCCUGUAGUCC